This 691-nucleotide ribosomal RNA is filed under the name uncultured bacterium. RNAcentral describes it as "bacterial SSU rRNA". It matches the Rfam family "Bacterial small subunit ribosomal RNA", at positions 613 to 1301 of the family's 1533-position model. The record is from RNAcentral.
CUGUGGGCGUGCGGGCGAUACGGGCAGACUUGAGUACUGCAGGGGAGACUGGAAUUCCUGGUGUAGCGGUGGAAUGCGCAGAUAUCAGGAGGAACACCGGUGGCGAAGGCGGGUCUCUGGGCAGUAACUGACGCUGAGGAGCGAAAGCGUGGGGAGCGAACAGGAUUAGAUACCCUGGUAGUCCACGCCGUAAACGGUGGGUACUAGGUGUGGGUUUCCUUCCUUGGGAUCCGUGCCGUAGCUAACGCAUUAAGUACCCCGCCUGGGGAGUACGGCCCGCAAGGCUAAAACUCAAAGAAAUUGACGGGGGCCCGCACAAGCGGCGGAGCAUGUGGAUUAAUUCGAUGCAACGCGAAGAACCUUACCUGGGUUUGACAUGCACAGGACGCUGGUAGAGAUAUCAGUUCCCUUGUGGCCUGUGUGCAGGUGGUGCAUGGCUGUCGUCAGCUCGUGUCGUGAGAUGUUGGGUUAAGUCCCGCAACGAGCGCAACCCUUGUCCUAUGUUGCCAGCGGGUUAUGCCGGGGACUCGUAGGAGACUGCCGGGGUCAACUCGGAGGAAGGUGGGGAUGACGUCAAGUCAUCAUGCCCCUUAUGUCCAGGGCUUCACACAUGCUACAAUGGCCGGUACAAAGGGCUGCGAUGCCGUGAGGUGGAGCGAAUCCUUGUAAAGCCGGUCUCAGUUCGGAUCGG